Molecule: ribosomal RNA, 859 nt
Filed under: uncultured Methylomirabilota bacterium
Lineage: Bacteria; Methylomirabilota (SeqCode)
Description: bacterial SSU rRNA
Rfam family: Bacterial small subunit ribosomal RNA
Source: RNAcentral
AACCAAAGGAGGCGAGCGUAAGCAGCUCUCACCGAAGGAGGAGCCUGCGUCCGAUUAGCUAGUUGGUGGGGUAAUGGCCUACCAAGGCGACGAUCGGUAGCCGGCCUGAGAGGGCGAUCGGCCACACUGGAACUGAGACACGGUCCAGACUCCUACGGGAGGCAGCAGUGGGGAAUAUUGCGCAAUGGGCGAAAGCCUGACGCAGCGACGCCGCGUGGGUGAUGAAGGCCUUCGGGUCGUAAAGCCCUGUCUGGUGGAACGAAACGCCUGGCGGCCAAUACCCGCUGGGUUUGACGGUACCACCGAAGGAAGCCCCGGCUAACUACGUGCCAGCAGCCGCGGUAAGACGUAGGGGGCGAGCGUUGUUCGGAUUUACUGGGCGUAAAGCGCGCGUAGGCGGCCAGAUAAGUCGGGUGUGAAAGCCCUCGGCUCAACCGAGGUUCCGCAUCCGAUACUGCUUGGCUGGAGUCUAGGAGAGGAGAGCGGAAUUCCCAGUGUAGCGGUGAAAUGCGUAGAUAUUGGGAGGAACACCCGUGGCGAAGGCGGCUCUCUGGACUAGUACUGACGCUGAGGCGCGAAAGCUAGGGGAGCGAACGGGAUUAGAUACCCCGGUAGUCCUAGCCGUAAACGAUGGGCACUAGGUGUGGGAGGUAUUGACCCCUUCCGCGCCGAAGCUAACGCAUUAAGUGCCCCGCCUGGGGAGUACGGCCGCAAGGCUAAAACUCAAAGGAAUUGACGGGGGCCCGCACAAGCGGUGGAGCAUGUGGUUCAAUUCGACGCAACGCGAAGAACCUUACCAGGGCUUGACGUCCCACGAACCUGCCUGAAAGGGCGGGGUGCCCGCAAGGGAGCGCGGAGA